GCCGGGCGUGGUGGCGCGUUCCUGUAGUCCCAACUACUCAGGAGGCUGAGGUGGGAGGAUUGCUUGAGCCCAGGAGUUCGGGGCUGUGGUGUGCUGUGCCGAUUGGGUGUCCAUACUAAGUUCAGCAUCAAUAUGGUAACCUCCCGGGAUCGGGGGACCAUCAGGUUGCCUGAGGGUGAACCGGCCCAGGUCGGAAAUGGAGCAGGUCAAAACUCCCAUGCUGAUCAGUAGUGGGAUCGCACCUGUGAAUAGCCACUGCACCCCAGCCUGGGCAAUGUAGCGAGACCCUGUCUCC
Molecule: signal recognition particle RNA, 295 nt
Filed under: Cebus imitator (Panamanian white-faced capuchin)
Lineage: Eukaryota; Metazoa; Chordata; Mammalia; Primates; Cebidae
Description: Metazoan signal recognition particle RNA (ENSCCAG00000005895.1)
Rfam family: Metazoan signal recognition particle RNA
About the family: The signal recognition particle (SRP) is a universally conserved ribonucleoprotein. It is involved in the co-translational targeting of proteins to membranes. The eukaryotic SRP consists of a 300-nucleotide 7S RNA and six proteins: SRPs 72, 68, 54, 19, 14, and 9.
Source: RNAcentral